GCAAGUCGAACGGUAAGGCCUUUCGGGGUACACGAGUGGCGAACGGGUGAGUAACACGUGGGUGAUCUGCCCUGCACUUUGGGAUAAGCCUGGGAAACUGGGUCUAAUACCGAAUAUGACCAUGGACUUCACGGUUUGUGGUGGAAAGCUUUUGCGGUGUGGGAUGGGCCCGCGGCCUAUCAGCUUGUUGGUGGGGUAAUGGCCUACCAAGGCGACGACGGGUAGCCGGCCUGAGAGGGUGACC
This 244-nucleotide ribosomal RNA is filed under the name uncultured bacterium. Its description in RNAcentral is "partial 16S ribosomal RNA". It matches the Rfam family "Bacterial small subunit ribosomal RNA", at positions 57 to 305 of the family's 1533-position model. The record is from RNAcentral.